GACGAACACUGGCGGCGUGCCUAAUACAUGCAAGUAGAACGCUGAAGGAGGAGCUUGCUUCUCCGGAUGAGUUGCGAACGGGUGAGUAACGCGUAGGUAACCUGCCUGGUAGCGGGGGAUAACUAUUGGAAACGAUAGCUAAUACCGCAUAACAGUAGAUAUUGCAUGAUAUCUGCUUGAAAGGUGCAAUUGCAUCACUACCAGAUGGACCUGCGUUGUAUUAGCUAGUUGGUGGGGUAACGGCUCACCAAGGCGACGAUACAUAGCCGACCUGAGAGGGUGAUCGGCCACACUGGGACUGAGACACGGCCCAGACUCCUACGGGAGGCAGCAGUAGGGAAUCUUCGGCAAUGGACGGAAGUCUGACCGAGCAACGCCGCGUGAGUGAAGAAGGUUUUCGGAUCGUAAAGCUCUGUUGUAAGAGAAGAACGAGUGUGAGAGUGGAAAGUUCACACUGUGACGGUAUCUUACCAGAAAGGGACGGCUAACUACGUGCCAGCAGCCGCGGUAAUACGUAGGUCCCGAGCGUUGUCCGGAUUUAUUGGGCGUAAAGCGAGCGCAGGCGGUUAGAUAAGUCUGAAGUUAAAGGCUGUGGCUUAACCAUAGUACGCUUUGGAAACUGUUUAACUUGAGUGCAAGAGGGGAGAGUGGAAUUCCAUGUGUAGCGGUGAAAUGCGUAGAUAUAUGGAGGAACACCGGUGGCGAAAGCGGCUCUCUGGCUUGUAACUGACGCUGAGGCUCGAAAGCGUGGGGAGCAAACAGG
This 763-nucleotide ribosomal RNA is filed under the name uncultured Streptococcus sp. RNAcentral's name for it is "bacterial SSU rRNA". It matches the Rfam family "Bacterial small subunit ribosomal RNA", at positions 28 to 776 of the family's 1533-position model. Lineage: Bacteria; Bacillati; Bacillota; Bacilli; Lactobacillales; Streptococcaceae. The record is from RNAcentral.